GCAAGUCGAGGGGUAACAGGGAUUAGUUUACUAAUUUGCUGACGACCGGCGCACGGGUGAGUAACGCGUAUACAAUUUACCUUUUACUGGAGAAUAGCCCAGAGAAAUUUGGAUUAAUGCUCCAUGGUAUUAAUUGUUCACCUGGCCUAUUAAUUAAAGUUCCGGCGGUAAGAGAUGAGUAUGCGUCCUAUUAGCUAGAUGGUAGGUAACGGCUUACCAAGGCGACGAUGGGUAGGGGUCCUGAGAGGGAGAUC
RNAcentral lists this ribosomal RNA (254 nucleotides) under uncultured bacterium. RNAcentral describes it as "partial 16S ribosomal RNA". It matches the Rfam family "Bacterial small subunit ribosomal RNA", at positions 57 to 305 of the family's 1533-position model. The record is from RNAcentral.